UCUUCCCUCUUUCUUCGUGCCUAAUACAUGCAAGUCGAGCGAACAGACGAGGAGCUUGCUCCUCUGACGUUAGCGGCGGACGGGUGAGUAACACGUGGAUAACCUACCUAUAAGACUGGGAUAACUUCGGGAAACCGGAGCUAAUACCGGAUAAUAUAUUGAACCGCAUGGUUCAAUAGUGAAAGACGGUUUUGCUGUCACUUAUAGAUGGAUCCGCGCCGCAUUAGCUAGUUGGUAAGGUAACGGCUUACCAAGGCGACGAUGCGUAGCCGACCUGAGAGGGUGAUCGGCCACACUGGAACUGAGACACGGUCCAGACUCCUACGGGAGGCAGCAGUAGGGAAUCUUCCGCAAUGGGCGAAAGCUUGACGGAGCAACGCCGCGUGAGUGAUGAAGGUCUUCGGAUCGUAAAACUCUGUUAUUAGGGAAGAACAAAUGUGUAAGUAACUAUGCACGUCUUGACGGUACCUAAUCAGAAAGCCACGGCUAACUACGUG
This 497-nucleotide ribosomal RNA is filed under the name uncultured bacterium. RNAcentral describes it as "partial 16S ribosomal RNA". It matches the Rfam family "Bacterial small subunit ribosomal RNA", at positions 36 to 507 of the family's 1533-position model. The record is from RNAcentral.